UCAAUGCUCCUACGCGGCGCUAUGCCACCCAAUCCCCCCAGGGCAGGAAUGCAGCAAGGGUAAGUGGCCUCUGGCGGGUGCGUAGGAGUUUUUACUA
Scardovia wiggsiae F0424 is the source of this 97-nucleotide non-coding RNA. It matches the Rfam family "Bacterial small signal recognition particle RNA". Rfam says of the family: The signal recognition particle (SRP) is a universally conserved ribonucleoprotein involved in the co-translational targeting of proteins to membranes. Archaeal SRP consists of a 7S RNA and homologues of the eukaryotic SRP19 and SRP54 proteins. The record is from Rfam. NCBI's taxonomy places the organism in Bacteria, Bacillati, Actinomycetota, Actinomycetes, Bifidobacteriales, Bifidobacteriaceae.